ACUCUUGUGUGGGAUCAACAGUCUGGAAAGGAAGAAAUGCCAUCAUCAACUUUCUGAGCAACAAAAGAAAUUAUAUUCUCCAAAGUUAUGUUUUUGUUUUUUGAGACAGAGUCUUGCUCUGUCACCCAGGCUGGAGUGCAGUGGUGUGAUCUGGGCUCACUGGAAACUCUGCCUCACAGGUUCAAGCAGUUCUCCUGCUUCAGCCUUCUGAGUAACGGAAAUUACAGGCAUGCACCACCAUGCCCAGAUAAUUUUGUAGUUUUAGUAGAGAUGGGGUUUCACCAUUUUGGCCAGGCUGGUUUUGAACACCUGACCUCAAGUGAUCCGCCCACCUCACCCUCCCAAAGUGCUGGGAUUACAGGCAUGAACCACUGUGCCGGGCCCUAAAGUUAUGUUUGAAGUAUUAUUAUCUCACCUUCAUUUAAUUCUUUGUCAAUAACAAAAGAAGAAACGUACUGAGCCUACCUAUACCAGGCUACCCCUUAGCCACGAACAAGAAUCUUUUUGCAAGCAAGGUUCUUGAAUAGCUGAUCACUGGAAAUUGAAAUGAAUCCAAGAAACUCUUGGAGUGGAUAAUAAAGAUGUUUUCAUUAUGUAAAUGCCCUCCUGAGGGUUGAUUAAAGCACAUGAUAUAGUUAUGGCCUGGUCCAUGUGUCAUUCUAGGAAAAGGCAAAUUCUGAGAUAACAUACCAGAGGGGUUAGCUUAGUUAGUGGCCUAGUAAAUUCAUUGAACAAAUGAUCUGAGGGUGGCUUUCAUAUUGGGGCUUUAGUUACUUUUGAUCCCCGUAAUGUAAGAAUUGUGUCCCAGUGUGAUAUUUUUGGCUGUUUAGAUUUGUAUGUCUUCAAGUCUUCACAGCCCAAAUGUGAAUUACCCCCAAACUACUCAGCAGUGCUCCCUCUGUUUUUGCCUGAAAGGAUUAAAAUUUGUUCAUCCAUCUGGGCAUCCAGAUGAUGAUGACAUACCCUGCCCAGUUCUUAGGGCAGCCUGGGCUGCUGGAGCUAGACAGUGACUCAGAGAGGCAGUCAGUGGGGCUCAGGUGAUAGGUUCAGACAACUGCUACUAAAAGCUGACCCCAAACUCAGACAUAUUUACAAUCCUGUAUUGUCCCCGAGGCAAAAUUCAGUAAGCCUGCUGCUCUUCACCUUCACACAGAAGCUUCAAGCUGCCCUUUCUUUCCAGGGACACGCACUUGCAUCAGAAUGCUAUAUUGUUGCUGGCGGUGAAGACUGGGAGGGUUUGGGUGAAAGCUGUCUUGCGCCACCUGGUCUGGCUUAAAUCUGGGUGGCUCAAGCUCCACAUGCCUUUAGGGAUGCUCCUGCUCUGUCUCUCCUCUCUCAGGUCAGUAAAGCCAUUAGAAAUGAAGCCUGAGGCUGUCCUAAGGAAGGAGUGCUUGCUAAGUCCCUCCUGGGUGAAUAUAGGCGAGUACAUUUACCUGCGGCUGAAUGGGAGUACCAUAUGAAGUUAAUGCUAUAUCCUCCUCAGCUCCAUCACUGUCUCGGGCUGAAAGCCAAAGGAGGGAAGGGCUGGGUUAGUGUCCGAGAGUCAAUCGGAAACAGCACAUGAGGACUACAGGAAAACUCCAUGGCUUGCAAACAGGCUCUUCACUCUUUAAAAGGAAUUCUGAGGCUGGGCACGGUGGCUCACGCCUGUAAUCCCAGCACUUUGGGAGGCCAAGACGGGCGGAUCACUUGAGGUCAGGAGUUCGAGACUAGCCUGGCCAACAUGGCAAAACCCCGUCUUCACUAAAAAUACAAAAAUUAGCUGGGCGUGGUGGCGUGCACCUGUAAUCCCAGCUACUUGGGAGGUGGAGGCAGGAGAAUUUCUUGAACCUGGGAGGCGGAGGUUGCAGUGAGCCGAGAUCACGCCACUGCAUUCCAGCCUGGGUGACACAGCGAGACUAAAUAAAUAAAUAAGUAAGAGGAAUUAUCAAUCAGUUGUAGCUGUUAUUGAAAAAGUUUAUGAUUUAAAGGAGUGCAUUUAAAGUUGAUGUAGAAAGCGUGGGUAGCGUGUGAGUGUUUAGGAGAAGUGCAUUGGCGUUGGGAGACCACUGGCUCCAAGUCAGUUCUUGCUCUCUCAGUAUUACCGUGUGGCCUUGGGCAUCUCACUCUUUUCAACAGUCCCUUUAGGCUUGAUUCUCUACAAGCUUGAAUUCAAUUUUUCAAAAUUUUAAAAAUUUUGCCCAGGUUGAUCUUAAACCCCUGGCCUCAAACCUCCCACCUUGGCCUCCCAAAAUGCUGGGAUUAUAGGUCUGAGCCACCAUGUCUCGCCUGAAUUCAAUUUUUAAAAUUGGGCAUAAUAAAAGAGAUCACUUGAGACAAUUCUAUAUUGUUGUAGGAUCAUCACAGACAUAGGUAUUUGUUUAAUGGCUGCCUCCUCAACCAGCCUGUAAGCUCUGUGAAGACAGGAGCUGUGCCUGUCUCUGAGAGCAGGUACUUGCUGGAUACCUAGUUGUUUUUUGAUGAUCACAGACAUAACCGUGUUAGUAGGGUUCACACUUAGGGGUUUCAUGUUGAGUGGAUGGACCCUGGAAAAGGACUGCUUGGCUCUCUCAUUUGUGUUACCUACCUAGGGCCAAGUUCCUUAACCUUUUGUUGCCUUUGUUUCCUGAUGGAAAUAAAAGAGGAAUAAUGACAGUCAUAACAGUAAGUCUAUCUCAUAGGAUUGCUUUGAGGAUUAUGUAAAAUGUUAUAUAAAGUCCUUGGAACAGAGCUAUCCUUUGUGUAUGAUUAUUGGUGGUGGUGCUGGUGCUGCAGUUAUAAUAGAUGCUCUGACAUCCUCUUCCUAGUGGCUUUUUACUUAUUUUUUUUAUUUUUUAAAGGGGCUGAUGCUGUGAUACAUGAAAUGCUUGUCUUUCCUUCAUGGCAGAACAAACUGAAUCCUUGGCUCAACUUCAUUCCUUGUGUCAUAACAAGGCUCCUUCACACUCAGUCUCUUGGGAACCAACUUUCAGCCAACAUUCUCAUCAAACCAGAUCAUCAGUUAGAAAAGCCUAAUUCUUCCAGCUCUAGCUAUAGUUCAUGAGUUUACCAAAAGGCUGAGCAUUUUUUAAUACUAAACCUGCACCACUGUGUGACAGGAAGUCCGAGUUGAGUAAGACCUUCCAUUUAUCUGUGGAGAAGGCAGGGAGGGAGGUGAUGAGCAGCAUUUAAAGAUGAGGAUUCUGAGGCUCCUAGGGUUUGAGGACCUUGGUUUGGUCUCGAGGUUGGUAAGAAGCAGAGUCUCGGAUCCUGGGCACAUGCGGCCCGAUUCUGCACUCUUUCCACUGCCCUUUGCUGCCCAAUUAUGCUCUCGCUCCCUGAAUUUGUUUUUUUAAAUUGAAAUGUAAUUUUUUUGGAGUGUGCAGUGGCGCAAUCAUAGCUCACUGCAACCUUGAACUCCUGGACUCAAGUGAUCCAUCUCACAGCCUCUUGAGUAGCUAGGACCACAGGUGUGUGCCACUAUGUCCAGCUAAGCUCUCUGAAUCUUUAUGAAUGACACCAUCCUUGACUUAUCUGUCCUCAGACCAAACAAAUCCUGCCUAUGACCCCACUGUCUUCUUCCUUGCUUUAAGCUAGUUCUCUCUCUGUGACCUGUAACUUGAGGGUGACAAAAAAGAACUUCCCAUGAAAGAACAAACAAACAUGACACCACCUGGGACCAUUGAAGUUGGAUUUCCCCUGGUAAGGUCUGAUGUUAUACCCUUUAAUCAUCUUUGUUGGGUUCUGCCAAGCCUCCCCAAACUUCCCACACUUCUCAUUAGUGGAUCAGUGGGUAUCCUUGCUAGAGACUGACCGAUUGCGGGUACAAUGGCACGGUUGUUCUUGCUGACCACACAUCUGUUUAUACAGUACCAUGAUUGUUUCUUGAGCAAACAAAAGCAAAGACAGUGGAGCACCUCCCUGCUCCCUGAAUCCCCCAGGAAUGUACCUCUGGAGAGCUCCUGGUUCUCCACUUGGAAGCUGUGUUGGUAGGCUGUGA
Molecule: long non-coding RNA, 3958 nt
Organism: Pan troglodytes (chimpanzee)
Lineage: Eukaryota; Metazoa; Chordata; Mammalia; Primates; Hominidae
Exons: 3
Source: RefSeq, a predicted model, not a curated record